Molecule: ribosomal RNA, 468 nt
Filed under: uncultured bacterium
Lineage: Bacteria
Description: partial 16S ribosomal RNA
Rfam family: Bacterial small subunit ribosomal RNA
Source: RNAcentral
GACGAACGCUGGCGGCGUGCUUAACACAUGCAAGUCGAACGGAAAGGCCCUGCUUUUGUGGGGUGCUCGAGUGGCGAACGGGUGAGUAACACGUGAGUAACCUGCCCUUGACUUUGGGAUAACUUCAGGAAACUGGGGCUAAUACCGGAUAUGAGCUCCUGCUGCAUGGUGGGGGUUGGAAAGUUUCGGCGGUUGGGGAUGGACUCGCGGCUUCUCAGCUUGUUUGUGGGGUAGUGGCUUACCAAGGCUUUGACGGGUAGCCGGCCUGAGAGGGUGACCGGCGACAUUGGGACUGAGAUACGGCCCAGACUCCUACGGGAGGCAGCAGUGGGGAAUAUUGCACAAUGGGCGGAAGCCUGAUGCAGCAACGCCGCGUGCGGGAUGACGGCCUUCGAGUUGUAAACCGCUUUCGCCUGUGACGAAGCGUGAGUGACGGUAAUGGGUAAAGAAGCACCGGCUAACUACGUG